CCUACGGGAGGCUGCAGUAGGGAAUCUUCCACAAUGGGCGAAAGCCUGAUGGAGCCACGCCGCGUGGGUGAAGAAGGUCUUCGGAUCGUUAAACCCUGUUGUUAGAGAAGUAAGUGCGUGAGAGUAACUGUUCACGUUUCGACGGUAUCUAACCAGAAAGCCACGGCUAACUACGUGCCAGCAGCAGCGGUAAUACGUAGGUGGCAAGCGUUAUCCGGUUUUAUUGGGCGUAAAGGGAACGCAGGCGGUCUUUUAAGUCUGAUGUGAAAGCCUUCGGCUUAACCGGAGUAGUGCAUUGGAAACUGGGAGACUUGAGUGCAGAAGAGGAGAGUGGAACUCGAGGUGUAGCGGUGAAAUGCUUAGAUAUAUGGAAGAACACCAGUGGCGAAGGCAGCUCUCUGGUCUGUAACUGACGCUGAGGUUCGAAAGCGUGGGUAGCAAACAGGAUUAGAUACCCUGGUAGUC
This 465-nucleotide ribosomal RNA is filed under the name uncultured bacterium. RNAcentral's name for it is "partial 16S ribosomal RNA". It matches the Rfam family "Bacterial small subunit ribosomal RNA", at positions 338 to 795 of the family's 1533-position model. The record is from RNAcentral.